Molecule: ribosomal RNA, 650 nt
Filed under: uncultured bacterium
Lineage: Bacteria
Description: bacterial SSU rRNA
Rfam family: Bacterial small subunit ribosomal RNA
Source: RNAcentral
CACGCCGUAANCGAUGAGUGCUAGGUGUUAGGCCCUUUCCGGGGCUUAGUGCCGGAGCUAACGCAACAAGCACUCCGCCUGGGGAGUACGACCGCAAGGUUGAAACUCAAAGGAAUCGACGGGGGCCCGCACAAGCGGUGGAGCAUGUGGUUUAAUUCGAAGCAACGCGAAGAACCUUACCAGGUCUUGACAUCCCGAUGCUAUUCUUAGAGAUAGGAAGUUACUUCGGUACAUCGGAGACAGGUGGUGCAUGGUUGUCGUCAGCUCGUGUCGUGAGAUGUUGGGUUAAGUCCCGCAACGAGCGCAACCCUUAUUGUUAGUUGCCAUCAUUAAGUUGGGCACUCUAGCGAGACUGCCGGUAAUAAACCGGAGGAAGGUGGGGAUGACGUCAAAUCAUCAUGCCCCUUAUGACCUGGGCUACACACGUGCUACAAUGGUCGGUACAACGAGUUGCGAGCCGGUGACGGCAAGCUAAUCUCUGAAAGCCGAUCUCAGUUCGGAUUGGAGGCUGCAACUCGCCUCCAUGAAGUCGGAAUCGCUAGUAAUCGCGGAUCAGCACGCCGCGGUGAAUACGUUCCCGGGCCUUGUACACACCGCCCGUCACACCACGAGAGUUUGUAACACCCGAAGUCGGUGAGGUANCCUUUUAG